AACGUAGGUGGCUAACGUUAUCCGGAUUUACUGGGCGUAAAGCGUGCGCAGGCGGCCUUUCAAGUCGGAUGUAAAAUCUCCUGGCUCAACUGGGAGGGAACAUUCGAUACUGAUAGGCUUGAGUACAGUAGAGGAAAGUGGAAUUCCCGGUGUAGUGGUGGAAUGCGUAGAUAUCGGGAGGAACACCAGUGGCGAAAGCGGCUUUCUGGGCUGUAACUGACGCUGAUGCACAAAAGCGUGGGGAG
Molecule: ribosomal RNA, 245 nt
Filed under: uncultured bacterium
Lineage: Bacteria
Description: partial 16S ribosomal RNA
Rfam family: Bacterial small subunit ribosomal RNA
Source: RNAcentral